RNAcentral lists this ribosomal RNA (1299 nucleotides) under Pasiphaea sp. 105 CWD-2021. RNAcentral describes it as "SSU rRNA". It matches the Rfam family "Eukaryotic small subunit ribosomal RNA", at positions 464 to 1732 of the family's 1831-position model. The record is from RNAcentral. Lineage: Eukaryota; Metazoa; Arthropoda; Malacostraca; Decapoda; Pasiphaeidae.
GUAGUGACGAAAAUAACAAUGCGGGACUCUUCCGAGUCUGCGUAAUUGGAAUGAGCACACUUUAAAUCCUUUAGCCACAACCAAUUGGAGGGCAAGUCUGGUGCCAGCAGCCGCGGUAAUUCCAGCUCCAAUAGCGUAUAUUAAAGUUGUUGCGGUUAAAAAGCUCGUAGUUCGAGUUCAGUUCCGGACUGGCUGGGGAGGUCACCGCCCGGUGCUUCCCCGUCAGGCUCCGAACAGCUUUUAUGACUAAAAGCCAAGUCGGUUUCGCCGGGGUGCUCUUCACCGAGUGUCCCGCGCGGCCGGCCAGUUUACCUUGAAUAAAUGAGAGUGCUCAAAGCAGGCUACUCUUAAAAAUAAAGCCCGAAUGUUACCUGCAUGGAAUGAUGGAAGAUGAAUCUCGGUUCCAUUUUAUUGGCUGUGGGAAUCCGAGUUAAUGAUAAACAGGGACGGUCGGGGGCAUCCGUACUACGACGCGAGAGGUGAAAUUCAGUGACCGUCGUAGGACGAACAACAGCGAAAGCAUUUGCCAAGAAUGUCUUCGUUGAUCAAGAACGAAAGUUAGAGGAUCGAAGGCGAUCAGAUACCGCCCUAGUUCUAACCCUAAACGAUGCUGACUAGCAAUCCGCCGUCGUUAUUCCCAUGACGUGGCGGGACGCCCCCGGGAAACCAUAAGUCUUUGAGUUCCGGGGGUAGUAUGGUUGCAAAACUGAAACUUAAAGGAAUUGACGGAAGGGCACCACCAGGAGUGGAGCCUGCGGCUUAAUUUGACUCAACACGGGAAACCUCACCAGGCCCGGACACCAGAAGGAUUGACAGAUUAAGAGCUCUUUCUUGAUUUGGUGGGUGGUGGUGCAUGGCCGUUCUUAGUUGGUGGAGUGAUUUGUCUGGUUAAUUCCGGUAACGAACGAGACUCUGGCCUACUAAAUAGUCGACGGGUGUUUUGGUGCAUGGGCCCCGUUCGACAAUGUCUUCUUAGAGGGAUGAGCAGCGAGUAUAGCUGCAGGAGAUUGAGCAAUAACAGGUCUGUGAUGCCCUUAGAUGUCCUGGGCCGCACGCGCGCUACACUGAAUGGGUUAGCGGGUUCUCCUUCUCCGAGAGGAGCGGGAAAUCGCGUGAAAACCAUUCGUGAUAGGGAUUGGGGCUUGCAAUUGUUUCCCAUGAACGAGGAAUUCCCAGUAAGCGCAAGUCAUCAGCUUGCGUUGAUUAAGUCCCUGCCCUUUGUACACACCGCCCGUCGCUACUACCGAUUGAAUGAUUUAGUGAGGCCUUCGGACUGGCGGUCUUGGACUGGGUUCCAUU